RNAcentral lists this long non-coding RNA (508 nucleotides) under Papio anubis (olive baboon). RNAcentral's name for it is "lncRNA (ENSPANG00000047312.1)". Lineage: Eukaryota; Metazoa; Chordata; Mammalia; Primates; Cercopithecidae. The record is from RNAcentral.
AGCUAUUGAACUUUCUAGUUGACGGUGUCUUUUCCCCCCAGUAAAGAAUGUGUCUUUACAGCUAAAGGUAACAUUAAGUUCAGAAUCGAAGCCACAGAGUACAAGGGAUUGAUUUGCAGCAAAGCUGAUAACCCUCCAUUUUGGAAUGAAGCAUGGACAGAAAGAAGGAAUAUCUUCCUCGAGAACUUGGAAGCCAUCACUAUCAUCAAGAAAGAUAGUUCCCUAUUUCCCAGUCUCUAUGGGAAAGUAGGAGCAUAACUUCAAUAAGAGACAACCAGAAAACAUGGAUACCCUGAUCAUGUUGACCAACCUCCUCCAGCAUCUUCCUGUGCUUCUCUACUAGUUCAUCCCAGUGUUUAUAAACUUUUCUGUCUUUCAGGUUAAUGGAAUUGAGUUCAAUCUCUCUCCCCUAUUACAAUAGCCUGUCUUUACCAUUGCAAUAAUUUUGAGUAAAGUAUUUUCUUUUUAGCUUGUCUGAUGUAAUUUUUAUUUUGCAAUACAUAUCCAG